GUUUUGUCCCGUUGUCCAGCACGGGUCGGCUGGAGCCUGUAGUCGGUCCCGUUCCUCAUCAUUACCCAGAAUCCUCCAGCAGCGUCAGACUGCCCGAGGCCUUCACUUCUGCAGCCACACACUUCAGCCCAAUCAUCCUGAGCCAGACACACACACCGAUGGUCACUGGAGAUUCUAUUGAGGACGUCACUGUUGAGGAGCAGGAUGCUGAGCAUUAUGGGAUACAUGAGCAGGUUUCCGCAAACGCAGACAGUUAUUCCUCUUCAUCCAGCUGUAAAACUCUGAUUAAUUCACCACAAACAACCAGCACAGAAACACACAACCACUCCUUACCAUGUGCCAACGGGAUCUGCCAGAACUUCCCGCUCCAGACUGGGCAUCUGACUCAACUUCCUGUUCAGAGUGCCACUCUUCAGCCAAUCACAGCUGUGGAUCUGAGUGCAGAGAAAGCAUCAGAAAGAGCUGAUCUGGGGUCAGUGAAUCAGAGAAACUCUGACCUGCAGGACGUCAUUCAGCUGCUCAGAGGACAGUUUCAUUUUGAUGGAGACCAAGAUCUGGCCAUGGGCCAGUACAUCUCCUCCUUAAAGAGCCUCCAGUUUGAGGUGUUCUGUGGAGUGGUGAUGGAGAAAUACAGCAGUGUGUGCUGGAAUCAGAAGCUGCUGUGUGUCCUGCACCGCCUGCUGAACCAGCACUGCAGUCCACCGUGAGUACAACAACACAUCCACAUCUAAUACUGCCACACAUCAUGCUGUAGUGUUGCUUGGCAGACUGGUGUGGUUGCUAGGGUUACUAAGCAGUCGCUAGGACAGGGUGGUUGUGUUACUGGUUGGCUCUUAGUGGUUGCUAAGGUUACUAUGGUGCUUUAGGUGGUUGUUUUAGGUGAUUGUCAGGUGCUGUUACCAGAGUGUUGCUAAGGGUUGUUGCUAAGGUAUAAUUAGGUAAUUGCUAGGUUUUUUUGAGUGGUUGCUAAGGUGUUUCCAGGGUGUUUGGGUGGUUGUUGGGCGGUUACCAGAGUGUCUUGGGUUGUUGCUAAGGUGUAAUUAGGUGAUUGCUGGUUAAGUGGUUGCUAGGGUUUUGCUAAAUAGUUGCUAAGAUAUUCUGGAUGGUUGUUGUGGUGUUACUAGGUGGUUUUGAGUGGUUGCUAGGCCCUAGGGUGUUUCAGGUAGUUGUUUAUUUUAAGUGGUUGUUUAGGCUGUUGAUAAAGUGAUUGCUAGAUAUUUCAGAGUGGUUGCUAGGGUUUUACUUAGUAGUUGCUAGGACAUUCUGGGUAGUUGUUAUGGUGUUACUGGGUGGUUAUUAUUAUUAAAGUUAUUUAACCAUUGUUUUGGGCGAUUGUUGGGUUACCAGAGUGUCUUGGGUUGUUGCUAAGGUGUAACUUGGUGAUUGCUAGGUAUUUCUCAGUGGUGGCUAGGGUGUUACUAUGGUGUUUUAGGUGGUUGUUUGGCUGUUACCAAAGUGUCUUGGGUUGUUGCUAAGGUGUAAUUAAGUGUUUGCUAGGUAUUUCUGAGUGGUUGCUAGGGUGUUACUAGUGUGUUUCAGGUAGUUUUAAGGCUUUUACCAGAGAGUCUUGUGUUGUUGCUAAGGUGUAAUUAGGUAAUUGCUAGGUAUUUUUCUGAGUGGUUGCUAGGCUUUUACUUAGUAGUUACUAGGAUGUUCUGGGUAGUUGUUAUGGUGUUAUUGGGUGGUUCUGAGUGGUUGCUAAGGUGUUACCUAAGUUUUUAGCCAGUUGUUUUGGGUGAUUGUUGGGUUACCAGAGUGUCCUGGGUUGUUGCUAAGGUGCAGUUUGGUGAUUGCUUGAUAUUUCUGAGUGGUUACUAGGGUUUUACUAAGCAGUUGCUAGAGUAGCCUGGGUGGUUGUUAUGGUGUUACUGGGUGGUUCUGAGUGGUUGCUAAGGUGUUACUUGGGUGUUUAAAGUACUUGUUUCAAGCAAUUGUCAUGCUUUUACUAGAAUGUCUUGAGCUGUUGCUAAGGUGUGAUUAGGUGAUUGCCAGGUAUUUAUGAGUGGUUUCAAGGGUUUUGCUAAACAGUUGCUAAGGUACUCUGGGUGGUUGCUAUGGUGUUACUGUGUAAUUCUGAGUGGUUGCCAAGGUGUUACUAUGGUGCUAUAUACUAUGACUGCUAAGUUGUUAGUAGGGGGUUAUUAGGCUGUUACCAGAAUGUCUUAAGUUGUUGCUACAGUUUUAUUAGGUGCUUGCUAGGUAAUUCUGAGUGGUUACGCUGGUGUUACUGGGUAGUUCUGGGUUGUUGUUAGGAGGUCUUUUUGUAGUGGCUAUUCUGGGUGAUAGCUCGGGGGUUACUGGAUUCUGAGUGAUUGCUAGUUUACUAUGUCGUAUUAUGUAGUUGUUUAGGCCAUUUCUAGUGUUUUACUAGGUGGUUGUUGGGGUGUUACUUGGUGAUUGCUUGGGUGUUGUAGAUGGUUGUUCUGGGUUGUUGUUUGGCUGAUAUCAGAGUUUUUCUGGGUUGUUGCUUACAUGUAGCUAGGUGGUUGAUAGGGUAUUCUAGGUUGUUCCUAAAACAUUAUUAGGUGGUUUUGUGUGGUUGCUAACAAGUUGCUAGGUGGUUACUAGAGUGUUUUGGGUGUUUUCAAGUGGGUUAAAAAGAUUGUAUAGGAACAACAAAAUGUAUUUGGUAUUUUGCAUGAGAUAAUAAAAGUGGUUGUUUGUCUGUUACUAGAGUGUUUUGGGUUGUUGCUAGGAUGUUACUUUGUUGGAGAUUAGGUGUACAAGGUGGUUGCAGGGUGAUAUUAGAGUCGUUCUACUGUACGAUGUUGUUCUGGGUGCAUUGUUAGGCUGUUAUCAGAAUGUUUUGUAUCGGUAAUAGGUAGUUGCUAGGGUAUGCUGGGGGUUGCUAGGGUGUAACUAGCAUGCAUUUCACACUAUCAAAAAAAAAAGCCAAUAACAUUUUCUUGUUUGGUAUUUUACAUGGCAUAAUAAAACUUGUUUUAUACUCCUUGAAUUAUCUUAACUUGUAUAAUCUCUAUGAAAACAAGCUUUAAUGUCUAAUGCCAUUAGAUGUUUCUAGAAAACAGAGAACAAGCCUAAAACAAAAUAGUAAGAAAUGAAUUUGUGCAAUGUGACGCUUGAGGUUAAUUCUGAGGUUAGUGCUGAAGCAGAAAUAGCAUCUGAAGCUGCUAACAGAUCACAGUCAGGUUUGUUUUGCUGAAGGUUGACCUGAACAACAGCCUUCAUUUUGAAUGUGAAUUGGAGUCACAUGAGCUCUCUCCAAAAACUCUCCAGACUCAUGCAUCCAGCGCUCCACUUCUCAUCAGCAAUCAGCCUGAUUCAGGCGUCCCUAUGGAGACUGAUGCUGCUGAAGUGGUCAGAUGCAGGGACGUUCGUGUCUACGCUUCUGCCACUAUCACGUUUACUUGUAGUGAUCAAUUGCUAAAGCUUUUACCAUGAUCAGGGCCGCACAAUAUACUGC
RNAcentral lists this long non-coding RNA (3424 nucleotides) under Danio rerio (zebrafish). RNAcentral describes it as "lncRNA (ENSDARG00000117695.1)". The record is from RNAcentral. Lineage: Eukaryota; Metazoa; Chordata; Actinopteri; Cypriniformes; Danionidae.